This 237-nucleotide ribosomal RNA is filed under the name uncultured bacterium. RNAcentral's name for it is "partial 16S ribosomal RNA". It matches the Rfam family "Bacterial small subunit ribosomal RNA", at positions 1263 to 1500 of the family's 1533-position model. The record is from RNAcentral.
CAGAGCAAACCCCUAAAAGCCAUCCCAGUUCGGAUUGCAGGCUGCAACCCGCCUGUAUGAAGUUGGAAUCGCUAGUAAUCGCGGAUCAGCAUGCCGCGGUGAAUACGUUCCCGGGCCUUGUACACACCGCCCGUCACACCAUGAGAGUCGGGAACACCCGAAGUCCGUAGCCUAACCGCAAGGAGGGCGCGGCCGAAGGUGGGUUCGAUAAUUGGGGUGAAGUCGUAACAAGGUAAC